GGUUAAGUGACUAAGCGUAUACGGUGGAUGCCUUGGCAGUCAGAGGCGAUGAAGGACGUACUAACUUGCGAUAAGCCCGGAUGAGGGAGUAAGACCCACAUGAGUCCGGGAUUUCCGAAUGGGGAAACCCACCUGCAGCAGCAGGUAUCUUUACCUGAAUCCAUAGGGUAAAGAGGCGAACCGGGGGAACUGAAACAUCUAAGUACCCCGAGGAAAAGAAAUCAACAGAGAUUCCGGCAGUAGCGGCGAGCGACCCCGGAUUAGCCCUUAAGUUUUAUAUGUGUCAGGUGAAGGCUCUGGAAAGUGCCGCGAUACAGGGUGACAGCCCCGUAACCGAAGAUGCAUAUAAGGUGAAAACGAGUAGGACGGGACACGUGAUAUCCUGUCUGAACAUGGGGGGACCAUCCUCCAAGGCUAAAUACUCCUGACUGACCGAUAGUGAACCAGUACCGUGAGGGAAAGGCGAAAAGAACCCCUGUGAGGGGAGUGAAACAGAACCUGAAACCGUAUACGUACAAGCAGUAGGAGCCUCUUUAUGGGGUGACUGCGUACCUUUUGUAUAAUGGGUCAGCGACUUAUAUUCAGUGGCAAGGUUAACCGGAUAGGGAAGCCGUAGCGAAAGCGAGUCUUAACUGGGCGUUCAGUCUCUGGAUAUAGACCCGAAACCGGGUGAUCUAGCCAUGGGCAGGUUGAAGGUUGAGUAACAUCAACUGGAGGACCGAACCGACUAAUGUUGAAAAAUUAGCGGAUGACUUGUGGCUAGGGG
This 766-nucleotide non-coding RNA is filed under the name Vibrio aerogenes CECT 7868. RNAcentral's name for it is "Bacterial large subunit ribosomal RNA". It matches the Rfam family "Bacterial large subunit ribosomal RNA", at positions 1 to 821 of the family's 2925-position model. Lineage: Bacteria; Pseudomonadati; Pseudomonadota; Gammaproteobacteria; Vibrionales; Vibrionaceae. The record is from Rfam by way of RNAcentral.